GGCCCAUUUCAUAGACCCGCUGGGUCCUUCUUUAGCGUUCCGGGCUACCUCUUCCACCACGAACUGACCGGUAAAACCAGAUGCUCCGAAUACGAUUAUGUGAAAUUACAGGUGCUGCUGCGCCUUUUUGACCCGGGUUGAAAUCUUGAGGGUCCAGGAGAGGUCCUCAGAGAUGUGGACAUGAGGAAUUUGAAGCUGGACACACGCUCCAGCUCAGUGCCAUCGAUGAGAACUGGGGCCAACCACCGUGGUGUUGUCUGAGAACUUGACAAUGGUGUUGGAGCUGUGUACAGGAACGCAGUCGUGGGUGAAGAGGAAGUACAGGAGGGGGCUCAGCACACAGCCUUGUGGAAGUGUCUGGUUGGUGUCUGUUGGUUAGGAAGUCCAAAGUCCAAUUGCAGAGAGAGGGGCCUAUCCCCAGGCCAGGGAGUUUGUUGACCAACCUAGUGUGGAUGACCAUGUUGAAUGCUGAGCUUAAGUCUAUGAACAACAUUCUCACAUAGAUGUUGGUUUUGUUCAAUGUUUUCAAAUGUUCAAUUUGAAAACAUUGCUUAUUUCUUCAUAAACAAACAUGAUGUUUAUUUCUUCUUAAACAACAG
Long non-coding RNA from Esox lucius (northern pike), 599 nucleotides. RefSeq lists it as uncharacterized. The record is from RefSeq and is a predicted model, not a curated record. NCBI's taxonomy places the organism in Eukaryota, Metazoa, Chordata, Actinopteri, Esociformes, Esocidae. The transcript has 3 exons.